Molecule: transfer RNA, 71 nt
Filed under: Toxocara canis (dog roundworm)
Lineage: Eukaryota; Metazoa; Nematoda; Chromadorea; Rhabditida; Toxocaridae
Rfam family: tRNA
About the family: Transfer RNA (tRNA) molecules are approximately 80 nucleotides in length. Their secondary structure includes four short double-helical elements and three loops (D, anti-codon, and T loops).
Source: Rfam by way of RNAcentral
GGGGCAAUAGCUCAGUGGUAGAGCCCCCGAUUCGUGUCGGCAAGACCUGGGUUCGAUUCCCGGCUGCUUGG